Molecule: ribosomal RNA, 775 nt
Filed under: uncultured Neocallimastigales
Lineage: Eukaryota; Fungi; Neocallimastigomycota; Neocallimastigomycetes; Neocallimastigales
Description: partial large subunit ribosomal RNA
Rfam family: Eukaryotic large subunit ribosomal RNA
Source: RNAcentral
UCAGACGAUGCGUCAUGCAUAUCAAUAAGCGGAGGAAAAGAAACUAACAAGGAUUCCCCUAGUAACGGCGAGUGAAGCGGGAAGAGCUCAAAUUUGAAAUCUUAAAGGGUUUCCCUUUACGAAUUGUAGUUUAAAGAAGUGGUUUUCUGUUGAGGUUUUGGUAAGAGUUCUUUGGAAUAGGACAUCAUAGAGGGUGAGAAUCCCGUAUUUGACCUUUACUUUCAACUUUGUGAUACACUUUCAAAGAGUCGGAUUGUUUGGGAAUGCAGUCCAAAAUGGGUGGUAAAUUUCAUCUAAAGCUAAAUAUUGGCGAGAGACCGAUAGCGAACAAGUACCGUGAGGGAAAGAUGAAAAGAACUUUGAAAAGAGAGUUAAACAGUACGUGAAAUUGUCAAAAGGGAAGCGUUUGACACCAGUGUUGUUUUUCUGAAAAUCAAUUAAAGAACUGUUUAUGCUAAGCUGUUUAGACUUUAUCAGCUAUCUGUUUAGUUUUGAGCUUUUCUUUAAUGCACUUUUCAGUUAACAAGUCAACAUCAAUUUCUUUUGCUGUAAAAAAGCUUGAGGAAGGUGGCUUGAGAUUCGUCUUAAGUGUUUAUAGCCUCUUGCCUAUGCAGUCGGAGAGAUUGAGGUCUGCAGCGUAGAUCCUUCGGGGCUAAAUGCAUUUGUGCUAAGUUAUAGCAUUUUAUAGACAACUUGUUGACUAUGAUUUGUCUUGUAGCUUACUCGCUUAUGUUAUUUUACCUACGCUUAGGAUGUUGAAUCUGUGCGAGACUAC